This 437-nucleotide ribosomal RNA is filed under the name Thermonectus leprieurii. RNAcentral's name for it is "partial 16S ribosomal RNA". Lineage: Eukaryota; Metazoa; Arthropoda; Insecta; Coleoptera; Dytiscidae. The record is from RNAcentral.
GUCCUCUUGAUUAUAAUUUGAGGUCUAACCUGCCCACUGAAAAUUUUUAACGGCCGCAGUAAUUUGACUGUGCAAAGGUAGCAUAAUCAUUAGUUUUUUAAUUAAAAGCUUGUAUGAAUGGUUGAACGAGGUAAAAUCUGUCUCUAAUUAAUUUAAAUUAGAAUUUAAUUUUUAAGUUAAAAAGCUUAAAUAAAUAUAAAAGACGAGAAGACCCUAUAGAUCUUUAUAUUAAUUAUUUUAAUUUUAAUAAAGAAUUAUUUAUUAAUUAAUAUAAUUAAUAUUUUAUUGGGGUAAUAAAAAGAUUAAAAAAAUUCUUUUAUAAUUUAUACAUUGAUUAGUGAAUAAAUGAUCCAAUUAUUUUGAUUAUAAGAUUAAGUUACCUUAGGGAUAACAGCGUAAUUUUUUUAAAGAGUUCUUAUCGAUAAAAAAGUUUGCGA